GCAGGGGUAGCCAAGCAUGGCCAACGGCGCAGGACUUAAGAUCCUGUCUCGCAGGAGUCCGAGGGUUCAAAUCCCUUCCCCUGCA
RNAcentral lists this transfer RNA (85 nucleotides) under Thermoplasmata archaeon. RNAcentral's name for it is "tRNA-Leu". It matches the Rfam family "tRNA". From Rfam's summary of the family: Transfer RNA (tRNA) molecules are approximately 80 nucleotides in length. Their secondary structure includes four short double-helical elements and three loops (D, anti-codon, and T loops). Further hydrogen bonds mediate the characteristic L-shaped molecular structure. tRNAs have two regions of fundamental functional importance: the anti-codon, which is responsible for specific mRNA codon recognition, and the 3' end, to which the tRNAs corresponding amino acid is attached (by aminoacyl-tRNA synthetases). tRNAs cope with the degeneracy of the genetic code in two manners: having more than one tRNA (with a specific anti-codon) for a particular amino acid; and 'wobble' base-pairing, i.e. permitting non-standard base-pairing at the 3rd anti-codon position. RNAcentral also lists the same sequence under 2 other names. Lineage: Archaea; Methanobacteriati; Thermoplasmatota; Thermoplasmata. The record is from RNAcentral.